Molecule: long non-coding RNA, 849 nt
Filed under: Cricetulus griseus (Chinese hamster)
Lineage: Eukaryota; Metazoa; Chordata; Mammalia; Rodentia; Cricetidae
Description: lncRNA (ENSCGRG00000026350.1)
Source: RNAcentral
UAUUUUUUCUUUUAUAGCUCUCAAAUCCUGGGACUAAAAGGCAUAGAAUCCCUUGUGAUGGAUCAAUUCAUGUUGCUCAUUGUGUCCUUGAACUGACAUAGAUCCAUCUGGCUGUUUCCUGAAUCCUGGGGUUAAAGGUGUGUGCCACCAUUGCCUGGCUCUAUGGCUUGCUAAAAUGGUUGCUGGGAUUAAAGACUUGUAUCACCACUCCCUGGUUCCAUGGCUUAUAGCUAGCUUUGCUUUCUACACGUGCAGAAAAGAAGAUUUGGUCAACAGUGUAGUUGGGUUUUGGGAUAAGGAUAUCCAACCAGAAGACAAAUACAUACUUGGGGGUAAUAUAGAAGUACCAAAUUAGAUAUAUGGAACUGUUCCUGGUAUCUGGAAGCUGAGAAGUCCUGAGGAUAAUAAGGAUGCUUCAUGUCUUAGAUGGAAGUCGAGCUCAAGAAGAGAGAAAGGGGUCUUGUUUCCCACCCACACCUAAAAUAACCAGGGAACAAAACUCCAAAGGACACCAAGGUGAUCCAAGCUGUGCAGCGAUGUGCAACUGGAAAAAUGAGGUCUGGCAGACAGAUUCACAACUCGAUGAGGAGCAUUUGGUGACAGAUAUUGACCACAGGGCUUUUCACGUGCUCCACCACCCUGAGCCUCAUCCACAGCCAAGAACAUGUAUUUUGGAAUCCACAGAACAAUUACAUCUCUUUGGUGUUGAUAUCUGUCCUAGAUCACCGGUUUUAAAAUAAUUGUUAACAGUUAAGUGGCAUAAUUAUUUUUUAAAAUGAAAAUAACUUUAAAAUCCUGUAAAAGAAUAUGAUUCAGCAAUGGUGAAUAUUCAAAGAUGCUAUUUGUCAU